UAUAAAUUAUAAGGUUACCCUUCUGUGUUU
Molecule: transfer RNA, 30 nt
Filed under: Cranchia scabra
Lineage: Eukaryota; Metazoa; Mollusca; Cephalopoda; Oegopsida; Cranchiidae
Description: partial tRNA-Ile
Source: RNAcentral